GGCCCCAUCGUCUAGAGGCCUAGGACGGCGGGUUUUCAUCCCGUAAACCCCGGUUCGAAUCCGGGUGGGGUCACUA
RNAcentral lists this transfer RNA (76 nucleotides) under Candidatus Woesebacteria bacterium GWB1_37_5. RNAcentral describes it as "tRNA-Glu". It matches the Rfam family "tRNA". Rfam says of the family: Transfer RNA (tRNA) molecules are approximately 80 nucleotides in length. Their secondary structure includes four short double-helical elements and three loops (D, anti-codon, and T loops). RNAcentral also lists the same sequence under 3 other names. The record is from RNAcentral. Lineage: Bacteria; Candidatus Woeseibacteriota.